Drosophila suzukii is the source of this 1110-nucleotide non-coding RNA. The record is from RefSeq and is a predicted model, not a curated record. Lineage: Eukaryota; Metazoa; Arthropoda; Insecta; Diptera; Drosophilidae.
GUUUUGGAAUUGGUUUUUAUUGAGUUUGACGGUUGAAAUAUUAAAAAUGAAGUCAGAAACGAAGGAGCACGCGAAUCGAAGAAAUGCUUCACGCAAAUGUAACCGAUAACUGGCUGAUCGCUCCUCCAAGGCCCGAUAUCAGAUCAAAAUGAGGCCAAUGAGGGAAUAUUAUAUAGCCAGCCAGCGGAACCAGGACAAAGGCCGGGAAAAAAUGCCCGCUAUCUUUCUACACAAUAUUUCUUCCAUCCAGCCUCUAAAAGCAUUUAAGGGCGAAGGUAUUUCCAAAUAAAUAUUCCGUGGCCUGCUCAAACUGAAAUAGAGUAAUAAAGCUCUUGUGUAAAGAUUUCUUCUCCUAUCAACAGGUCCUGGUUAAAUUGGAGUCUGAGAAGUGCCAGUCACAGCGCAGCUGCACCACAAAUUUAAAUUUUUAAACUUAAACAGAGUGAAAAUAUUUGGCCCAAACUGUCGUGGCCAAGUUAAACUGGUUCAAAGUGACAGAACCGGACCCAAAGACUUCUGGCAAUUCUCCGGAGGAAGUGUCCCAAACCAAUCCGAGACACUUGUAAGGGAAGCACAAGUUGCAAGGCGGAGACGGCAUGUACUUUGAGGCGGACAAAGUCGCAAUGCACAGCAGAACGCUGGGAGUUAGAGCUGGUAAAACAUCGAUAGCCGGCUCCGGCGAUAGUUUUGUCGAAGUUGCCACUACUAUCGAUACUACCGCUUGUUUGUUUUUGCACAAAAAUACCAAAAAUCGUACGAAAGAAUUAACUAUUCUGCUGAACGAUACCAUCGAUGUUUCCCCAAUUUAAAAACCUUCGAUAGUAUUGAUAUCGAUCAUUUUACCAACUCUACCAAAGAGAGACAAAAUCAUAAUUACAAAAUAAUAUAAAAUAAAUUAUAAUACAUCUAUCUAUCCCUCUUCAUUUCAAUAGCAGCAUCAGCAAUAAACAUAAACUAACGACAAUAAAUUAAUAUUCAAAACAAAAGUUUAACACAAGUUAGGUUAAGUUCAAGUGAGCUUUAAAAGCUCAUUCUCGAAUCCUCAAAUAGCUUUUUAGUUCAACACUCGCAUAGAGCUUCCAAAGAGCUUUUACGCGCCCUAAAAGCACA